RNAcentral lists this ribosomal RNA (420 nucleotides) under bacterium. RNAcentral's name for it is "partial 16S ribosomal RNA". It matches the Rfam family "Bacterial small subunit ribosomal RNA", at positions 355 to 776 of the family's 1533-position model. RNAcentral also lists the same sequence under 1 other name. The record is from RNAcentral.
UGGGGGAUAUUGCACAAUGGGCGAAAGCCUGAUGCAGCGACGCCGCGUGGGGGAUGAAGGCUUUCGGGUUGUAAACCUCUUUCGCUAUCGAACAAGGCCCGCUUAGGGUAGGUUGAGGGUAGGUGGAGAAGAAGCGCCGGCUAACUACGUGCCAGCAGCCGCGGUAAUACGUAGGGCGCGAGCGUUGUCCGGAAUUAUUGGGCGUAAAGGGCUUGUAGGCGGCUUGUUGCGCCUGCUGUGAAAACGCGGGGCUUAACUUCGCGCGUGCAGUGGGUACGGGCAGGCUUGAGUGUGGUAGGGGUGACUGGAAUUCCAGGUGUAGCGGUGGAAUGCGCAGAUAUCUGGAGGAACACCGAUGGCGAAGGCAGGUCACUGGGCCAUUACUGACGCUGAGGAGCGAAAGCAUGGGUAGCGAACAGG